Molecule: ribosomal RNA, 800 nt
Filed under: uncultured bacterium
Lineage: Bacteria
Description: bacterial SSU rRNA
Rfam family: Bacterial small subunit ribosomal RNA
Source: RNAcentral
AGAGUUUGAUCCUGGCUCAGAUUGAACGCUGGCGGCAUGCCUUACACAUGCAAGUCGAACGGCAGCACGGGUGCUUGCACCUGGUGGCGAGUGGCGAACGGGUGAGUAAUACAUCGGAACGUACCUUGUAGCGGGGGAUAGCUCGGCGAAAGCCGGAUUAAUACCGCAUACGCUCUGAGGAGGAAAGCGGGGGACCUUCGGGCCUCGCGCUACAAGAGCGGCCGAUGUCAGAUUAGCUAGUUGGUGAGGUAAAAGCUCACCAAGGCGACGAUCUGUAGCUGGUCUGAGAGGACGACCAGCCACACUGGGACUGAGACACGGCCCAGACUCCUACGGGAGGCAGCAGUGGGGAAUUUUGGACAAUGGGCGAAAGCCUGAUCCAGCAAUGCCGCGUGUGUGAAGAAGGCCUUCGGGUUGUAAAGCACUUUUGUCCGGAAAGAAAUCCUCUGGGUUAAUACCUCGGGGGGAUGACGGUACCGGAAGAAUAAGCACCGGCUAACUACGUGCCAGCAGCCGCGGUAAUACGUAGGGUGCAAGCGUUAAUCGGAAUUACUGGGCGUAAAGCGUGCGCAGGCGGUUUUGUAAGACGGAUGUGAAAUCCCCGGGCUUAACCUGGGAACUGCAUUCGUGACUGCAAGGCUAGAGUAUGGCAGAGGGGGGUAGAAUUCCACGUGUAGCAGUGAAAUGCGUAGAGAUGUGGAGGAAUACCGAUGGCGAAGGCAGCCCCCUGGGCCAAUACUGACGCUCAUGCACGAAAGCGUGGGGAGCAAGCAGGAUUAGAUACCCUGGUAGUCCACGCC